UAACACAUGCAAGUCGAGGGGCAGCAUGAAGUUUGCUUGCAAACUUUGAUGGCGACCGGCGCACGGGUGAGUAACGCGUAUCCAACCUUCCCUAUAGUAGAGAAUAGCCCGGCGAAAGUCGGAUUAAUGCUCUAUGUUAUUCAAAGCGGACAUCUAAUUUGAAUCAAAGGUUCACCGCUAUAGGAUGGGGAUGCGUCUGAUUAGCUUGAUGGCGGGGUAACGGCCCACCAUGGCGACGAUCAGUAGGGGUUCUGAGAGGAAGGUCCCCCACAUUGGAACUGAGACACGGUCCAAACUCCUACGGGAGGCAGCAGUGAGGAAUAUUGGUCAAUGGGCGAGAGCCUGAACCAGCCAAGUAGCGUGCAGGAUGACGGCCCUAUGGGUUGUAAACUGCUUUUAUGCGGGGAUAAAGUCGGCUACGCGUAGCCGUUUGUAGGUACCGCAUGAAUAAGGACCGGCUAAUUCCGUGCCAGCAGCCGCGGUAAUACGGAAGGUCCGGGCGUUAUCCGGAUUUAUUGGGUUUAAAGGGAGCGCAGGCCGGAGGUCAAGCGUGACGUGAAAUGUAGCCGCUCAACGGCUGAGUUGCGUCGCGAACUGGUUUCCUUGAGUGAGUACGACGUCAGCGGAAUUCGUGGUGUAGCGGUGAAAUGCUUAGAUAUCACGAAGAACCCCGAUUGCGAAGGCAGCUGACGAGUCCUUUACUGACGCUAAAGCUCGAAGGUGCGGGUAUCGAACAGGAUUAGAUACCCUGGUAGUCCGCACGGUAAACGAUGGAUGCCCGCUGUUUGCGAUAUAUUGUAAGCGGCCAAGCGAAAGCGUUAAGCAUCCCACCUGGGGAGUACGCCGGCAACGGUGAAACUCAAAGGAAUUGACGGGGGCCCGCACAAGCGGAGGAACAUGUGGUUUAAUUCGAUGAUACGCGAGGAACCUUACCCGGGCUUGAACUGCAGGAGAACGAUCCAGAGAUGGUGAGGCCCUUCGGGGCUCCUGUGGAGGUGCUGCAUGGUUGUCGUCAGCUCGUGCCGUGAGGUGUCGGCUUAAGUGCCAUAACGAGCGCAACCCCUUUCGCCAGUUGCCAUCAGGUGAUGCUGGGCACUC
This 1098-nucleotide ribosomal RNA is filed under the name uncultured bacterium. RNAcentral's name for it is "bacterial SSU rRNA". It matches the Rfam family "Bacterial small subunit ribosomal RNA", at positions 49 to 1140 of the family's 1533-position model. The record is from RNAcentral.